GUCCCAGCUGUCCUCUGCCUGACUGUAACUUGCUGUGUGACCUGAACAGGUCCCUUCCCCUCUCUGGGCCCUGGUCCCUUCAUCUAAUAUUCUGGAAGAAGUCGAUGGGAAGAACAUCUAUGGACAGUCUUCUGAGUGAUGCUCAGAACAAAGUUUAAAAUCAGGCAUUUUCACUUCAAACUUUUCCAUCCUUCUACCCUGAAGAGAGACAACCUGAAGUUUCAGCCCCCAGGGCAGGAGCCCCAGGGAUGUUCUGAAGACACCCAGGGUAGAAGCACUGUGUCAUUCAAGCAUUCCUGAUGGCUGGAGAGCCAUCCUCAAAGUGGCACUGGCAAAACAGGCCCCUGUAAUCAAGCCCAUCCUUGGCAACUCUUCACUGGAAACUCCUUUGACAUCCAUCAAGUUACUCUCUUCAUUAAUGCCUUAAUAAGUCUUCAGAAUCAAAGAACAACUUAAAAAUAAACAUAAUUUCAGAGGCCAGAGCCAAAAAAAGCC
This is a long non-coding RNA of Pan troglodytes (chimpanzee), 495 nucleotides long. RefSeq lists it as uncharacterized. Lineage: Eukaryota; Metazoa; Chordata; Mammalia; Primates; Hominidae. The transcript is spliced from 4 exons. The record is from RefSeq and is a predicted model, not a curated record.